CAAGCCUGAUCCAGCAAUGCCGCGUGCAGGAAGAAGGCCUUCGGGUUGUAAACUGCUUUUGUCAGGGAAGAAAUCUUCUGGGUUAAUACCUCGGGAGGAUGACGGUACCGCAAGAAUAAGCCCCGGCUAACUUCGUGCCAGCAGCCGCGGUAAUACGAAGGGGGCUAGCGUUGCUCGGAAUCACUGGGCGUAAAGGGUGCGUAGGCGGGUCUUUAAGUCAGGGGUGAAAUCCUGGAGCUCAACUCCAGAACUGCCUUUGAUACUGAAGAUCUUGAGUUCGGGAGAGGUGAGUGGAACUGCGAGUGUAGAGGUGAAAUUCGUAGAUAUUCGCAAGAACACCAGUGGCGAAGGCGGCUCACUGGCCCGAUACUGACGCUGAGGCACGAAAGCGUGGGGAGCAAACA
Molecule: ribosomal RNA, 404 nt
Filed under: uncultured Bradyrhizobiaceae bacterium
Lineage: Bacteria; Pseudomonadati; Pseudomonadota; Alphaproteobacteria; Hyphomicrobiales; Nitrobacteraceae
Description: bacterial SSU rRNA
Rfam family: Bacterial small subunit ribosomal RNA
Source: RNAcentral